Molecule: long non-coding RNA, 240 nt
Organism: Salarias fasciatus (jewelled blenny)
Lineage: Eukaryota; Metazoa; Chordata; Actinopteri; Blenniiformes; Blenniidae
Exons: 4
Source: RefSeq, a predicted model, not a curated record
CCGGUCCAGCUCCGGUCCGGCUCCGGUCCGGCUCCGGAGCCUCUGCGGAGCUCCGGUCUCUUUCCGUAGGGAUCCUAUUUUUCUGGACGCCGGAGCCCUACCGCGUCAAUUCAGACAGAAGCACGUCGGGUGCCCGGAAGGAAACACGAAGCGUGUUCCAAAAUAAGUGACUUCAAAAUAAAAUCUGUGUCGUGUUGUUGCCUCAAUAUUCUUUUUGGUACUUCUUCUGGUAGAAAACAG